This 496-nucleotide ribosomal RNA is filed under the name uncultured bacterium. Its description in RNAcentral is "partial 16S ribosomal RNA". It matches the Rfam family "Bacterial small subunit ribosomal RNA", at positions 29 to 507 of the family's 1533-position model. The record is from RNAcentral.
AUGAACGCUGGCGGCGUGCCUAAUACAUGCAAGUCGAGCGAACAGACGAGGAGCUUGCUCCUCUGACGUUAGCGGCGGACGGGUGAGUAACACGUGGAUAACCUACCUAUAAGACUGGGAUAACUUCGGGAAACCGGAGCUAAUACCGGAUAAUAUAUUGAACCGCAUGGUUCAAUAGUGAAAGACGGUUUUGCUGUCACUUAUAGAUGGAUCCGCGCCGCAUUAGCUAGUUGGUAAGGUAACGGCUUACCAAGGCGACGAUGCGUAGCCGACCUGAGAGGGUGAUCGGCCACACUGGAACUGAGACACGGUCCAGACUCCUACGGGAGGCAGCAGUAGGGAAUCUUCCGCAAUGGGCGAAAGCCUGACGGAGCAACGCCGCGUGAGUGAUGAAGGUCUUCGGAUCGUAAAACUCUGUUAUUAGGGAAGAACAAAUGUGUAAGUAACUAUGCACGUCUUGACGGUACCUAAUCAGAAAGCCGCGGCUAACUACGUG